UUAUGGCUCAGGAUGAACGCUAGCUACAGGCUUAACACAUGCAAGUCGAGGGGUAGCAGGGUAGCAAUACCGCUGACGACCGGCGCACGGGUGAGUAACGACGUAUCCAACCUUCCCAUAACUCAGGGAUAGCCUUUUCGAAAGAAAGAUUAAUACCUGAUAGUACUUUUUCAAGGCAUCUUGAGAAGUUAAAGAUUUAUUGGUUAUGGAUGGGGAUGCGUUCCAUUAGAUAGUUGGUGAGGUAACGGCUCACCAAGUCUUCGAUGGAUAGGGGUUCUGAGAGGAAGGUCCCCCACAUUGGUACUGAGACACGGACCAAACUCCUACGGGAGGCAGCAGUGAGGAAUAUUGGUCAAUGGGCGAGAGCCUGAACCAGCCAAGUAGCGUGAAGGGUAAUGAAGGUCCUAUGGAUUGUAAACUUCUUUUAUAGUAGAAUAAAGUGAUCCACGUGUGGAUUUUUGUAUGUAUACUAUGAAUAAGGAUCGGCUAACUCCGUGCCAGCCGCCGC
RNAcentral lists this ribosomal RNA (508 nucleotides) under uncultured bacterium. RNAcentral describes it as "bacterial SSU rRNA". It matches the Rfam family "Bacterial small subunit ribosomal RNA", at positions 17 to 518 of the family's 1533-position model. The record is from RNAcentral.